RNAcentral lists this ribosomal RNA (497 nucleotides) under uncultured bacterium. Its description in RNAcentral is "partial 16S ribosomal RNA". It matches the Rfam family "Bacterial small subunit ribosomal RNA", at positions 28 to 507 of the family's 1533-position model. The record is from RNAcentral.
GAUGAACGCUGGCGGCGUGCCUAAUACAUGCAAGUCGAGCGAACAGACGAGGAGCUUGCUCCUCUGACGUUAGCGGCGGACGGGUGAGUAACACGUGGAUAACCUCCCUAUAAGAAUGGGAUAACUUCGGGAAACCGGAGCUAAUACCGGAUAAUAUAUUGAACCGCAUGGUUCAAUAGUGAAAGACGGUUUUGCUGUCACUUAUAGAUGGAUCCGCGCCGCAUUAGCUAGUUGGUAAGGUAACGGCUUACCAAGGCAACGAUGCGUAGCCGACCUGAGAGGGUGAUCGGCCACACUGGAACUGAGACACGGUCCAGACUCCUACGGGAGGCAGGAGUAGGGAAUCUUCCGCAAUGGGCGAAAGCCUGACGGAGCAACGCCGCGUGGGUGAUGAAGGUCUUCGGAUCGUAAAACUCUGUUAUUAGGGAAGAACAAAUGUGUAAGUAACUAUGCACGUCUUGACGGUACCUAAGCAGAAAGCCACGGCUAACUACGUG